UAAAAAUAGGUUUUAUAUAAAGAUUUCUCGAAUUUAGGAGGGCUAGGGAAGUGUUAAUUUUGCUGUGGAAAAAUUAUUUUGUACACUUCUUUAGUAAUGAGAUGUUAAUCGUUCUUUAAUAUAUCUAGUUUCCUUAGAAAUUAAUUCAAUUAAGCUGACUUNGUAAUUGAUUUUUUUUAAUGAAUUNGAUUUAGGAGUUGAGUAAUGUUUAAGGGGAUAAGCUUUUGAAUAGAUUAUUAGAAUGCUGGAUUAUGUUUAAUUUGGAAUAGGAAUAGAAGUUUUCAUUUUUUAUAGUGAGUUGUAUCAAGAUUUUGAUUUAGAUGAUUUUUUAUGGGUUUAGGUUUUUUAUAAGGAUAGUAAAUUUAAUUUUAGGUUUUACGGGAUAAUGAUUGAAUUAGUAUAUAGUAAUGUUUGUAUAGGCCUAGAUUGUGAGGUUGAGUUGAGGAAUUCGGCAAAUAUAUUUCCUGCCUGUUUAUUAAAAACAUGGCCUUUUGAUAAUAAUUUUAGGUCUGGCCUGCCCAAUGAUUUGUUUAAUGGCCGCGGUACUCUGACCGUGCAAAGGUAGCAUAAUCAUUAGUUUUUUAAUUGAAAGCUGGAAUGAACGGUCGGACAAGGAAAUAACUGUCUUUACUUAAGAGAUAGAAUUUUAUUUUUUAGUAAGAAAGCUAAAAUAGACUUAAGGGACGAGAAGACCCUAUAGAAUUUUAUAAGUUAUUAAUGGAUUGGUUUUAGGUUUAUUCUGUUGAUUUGUUGAUGAUUUAUUUUGUUGGGGUGAUAGAAAAAUUUAGGAAACUUUUUAUUUUACUGAAUUACUGAUGUGUAAAUAUUUGAUCCAUUUGUUGUGAUUAUAAGAUUAAAUUACCUUAGGGAUAACAGCGUAAUUGGUUUGGAGAGUUCAUAUCGAUAAACUAGUUUGCGACCUCGAUGUUGGAUUAAAAUGAACUUUUGGUGUAGGGGCUAUUAGGUUAAGUCUGUUCGACUUUUAAAAUUUU
RNAcentral lists this ribosomal RNA (992 nucleotides) under Hexarthrius mandibularis. RNAcentral describes it as "partial 16S ribosomal RNA". The stretch from base 427 to 670 matches the Rfam family "Archaeal large subunit ribosomal RNA", at positions 1786 to 2143 of the family's 2987-position model. Lineage: Eukaryota; Metazoa; Arthropoda; Insecta; Coleoptera; Lucanidae. The record is from RNAcentral.